Long non-coding RNA from Manacus vitellinus (golden-collared manakin), 139 nucleotides. RefSeq lists it as uncharacterized. The record is from RefSeq and is a predicted model, not a curated record. NCBI's taxonomy places the organism in Eukaryota, Metazoa, Chordata, Aves, Passeriformes, Pipridae. The transcript has 3 exons.
CAGGAACAGGCAGACAGGUCUGGGUGCAGCCGCGGUGGAUGACGAUGGCCGGUCGCCGAUGGCUCGUCCCGCCCGUUCAAGGCCUGCUGCUCUGCAUCUUGGCUCUGCACAUCCAUCUCCAGGACUCUCUUGCCCCAGC